UACAGAGGGCCCAAGCGUUGUUCGGAUUCAUUGGGCGUAAAGGGUGCGUAGGCGGCGCGGUAAGUCGGGUGUGAAAUCUCGGAGCUUAACUCCGAAACUGCAUUCGAUACUGCCGUGCUUGAGGACUGGAGAGGAGACUGGAAUUUACGGUGUAGCGGUGAAAUGCGUAGAUAUCGUAAGGAAGACCAGUGGCGAAGGCGGGUCACUGGACAGUUCCUGACGCUGAGGCGCGAAGGCCAGGGGAGCAAACGGG
RNAcentral lists this ribosomal RNA (253 nucleotides) under uncultured bacterium. Its description in RNAcentral is "partial 16S ribosomal RNA". It matches the Rfam family "Bacterial small subunit ribosomal RNA", at positions 524 to 776 of the family's 1533-position model. The record is from RNAcentral.